This 438-nucleotide ribosomal RNA is filed under the name uncultured bacterium. RNAcentral describes it as "partial 16S ribosomal RNA". It matches the Rfam family "Bacterial small subunit ribosomal RNA", at positions 338 to 794 of the family's 1533-position model. The record is from RNAcentral.
CCUACGGGAGGCAGCAGUGAGGAAUUUUCCGCAAUGGGCGAAAGCCUGACGGAGCGACGCCGUGUGUGCGAUGAAGUCCUUCGGGAUGUAAAGCACUGUCAGGGGGGACGAUAUUGACGGUACCCCCAGAGGAAGGCCCGGCUAACUACGUGCCAGCAGCCGCGGUAAUACGUAGGGGCCAAGCGUUGUCCGGAAUCAUUGGGCGUAAAGGGCGUGUAGGCGGUCUGAUAAGUCGAAUGUUAAAUCUACGGGCUAAACCCGUAGCCGCAUUCGAUACUGUCAGACUGGAGAAUGGUAGAGGAAAGCGGAACUUCCGGUGUAGCGGUGAAAUGCGUAGAUAUCGGAAGGAACACCAGUGGCGAAGGCGGCUUUCUGGGCCAUUUCUGACGCUGAGGCGCGAAAGCUAGGGGAGCGAACGGGAUUAGAUACCCCUGUAGU